This 533-nucleotide ribosomal RNA is filed under the name uncultured bacterium. Its description in RNAcentral is "bacterial LSU rRNA". It matches the Rfam family "Bacterial large subunit ribosomal RNA", at positions 1740 to 2291 of the family's 2925-position model. The record is from RNAcentral.
GAUAAGGGGAGCUCGUAUUUAUAUGAGCCGCAGAGAAAUGGUCCAGGCGACUGUUUAGCAAAAACACAUAGAUCUGCUAAAACGAAAGUUGAUGUAUAGGUCUUGACACCUGCCCGGUGCUGGAAGGUUAAGAGGGGGGUUAGGCGCAAGCCGAAGCUCUGAAUCGAAGCCCCAGUAAACGGCGGCCGUAACAAUAACGGUCCUAAGGUAGCGAAAUUCCUUGUCGGGUAAGUUCCGACCUGCACGAAUGGUGUAACGAUCUGGACGCUGUCUCAACCACGAGCUCGGUGAAAUUGUAGUAUCGGUGAAGAUGCCGGUUAACCGCAACGGGACGGAAAGACCCCAUGCACCUUCACUACAGCUUUGCAUUGGUUUUGGUUAAAAUGAUGUGUAGGAUAGGUGGGAGACUUUGAAGCGGCGUCGCUAGGCGUUGUGGAGUCAUUGGUGAAUACACCCUUCAUUUAAUUGAAAUCUAAUCCCGCUAAGCGGAGACAUUGCAUGGUGGGUAGUUUUGACUGGGGUGGUCGCCUCCG